CCUACGGGAGGCAGCAGUGAGGAAUAUUGGUCAAUGGGCGCUAGCCUGAACCAGCCAAGUAGCGUGAAGGAAGACUGCCCUAUGGGUUGUAAACUUCUUUUAUAUGGGAGUAAAGUGCAGUAUGUAUACUGGUUUGCAAGUACCUUAUGAAUAAGGAUCGGCUAACUCCGUGCCAGCAGCCGCGGUAAUACGGAGGGUGCGAGCGUUAUCCGGAUUUAUUGGGUUUAAAGGGAGCGUAGGCGGGUUGUUAAGUCAGUUGUGAAAGUUGGCGGCUCAACCGUAGAAUUGCAGUUGAUACUGGCAUGCUUGAGUGCAGUAGAGGUAGGCGGAAUUCGUGGUGUAGCGGUGAAAUGCUUAGAUAUCACGAAGAACACCGAUUGCGAAGGCAGCCUGCUGGACUGUAACUGACGCUGAUGCUCGAAAGUGUGGGUAGCAAACAGGAUUAGAUACCCCAGUAGUC
This 460-nucleotide ribosomal RNA is filed under the name uncultured bacterium. RNAcentral's name for it is "partial 16S ribosomal RNA". It matches the Rfam family "Bacterial small subunit ribosomal RNA", at positions 338 to 795 of the family's 1533-position model. The record is from RNAcentral.